Molecule: ribosomal RNA, 368 nt
Filed under: uncultured bacterium
Lineage: Bacteria
Description: partial 16S ribosomal RNA
Rfam family: Bacterial small subunit ribosomal RNA
Source: RNAcentral
CCUACGGGAGGCAGCAGUGGGGAAUAUUGCGCAAUGGGCGAAAGCCUGACGCAGCGACGCCGCGUGCGGGAUGAAGGCCUUCGGAUCGUAAACCUCUGUCAGCAGGGAAGAACGGUCACUGUGCUAAUCAGCAGUGAAUUGACGGUACCUGCAAAGGAAGCACCGGCUAACUCCGUGCCAGCAGCCGCGGUAAUACGGUGGGUGCGAGCGUUAAUCGGAAUUACUGGGCGUAAAGCGCUCGUAGGCGGUAGGUCAAGUCAAAGGUGAAAUCCCCGCGCUCAACGUGGGAACUGCCUUUGAUACUGGCAAACUAGAGAGUGUGAGAGGAUGGUGGAAUUCCAGGUGUAGGAGUGAAAUCCGUAGAGAUC